UAUUUGAUAGUACCUUACUACAUGGAUACCUGUGGUAAUUCUAGAGCUAAUACAUGCUAAAAACCUCGACUUCGGAAGGGGUGUAUUUAUUAGAUAAAAAACCAACGCCCUUCGGGGCUCCUUGGUGAAUCAUAAUAACUAAGCGAAUCGCAUGGCCUUGCGCCGGCGAUGGUUCAUUCAAAUUUCUGCCCUAUCAACUUUCGAUGGUAGGAUAGUGGCCUACCAUGGUGGCAACGGGUAACGGGGAAUUAGGGUUCGAUUCCGGAGAGGGAGCCUGAGAAACGGCUACCACAUCCAAGGAAGGCAGCAGGCGCGCAAAUUACCCAAUCCCGACACGGGGAGGUAGUGACAAUAAAUACUGAUACGGGGCUCUUUUGGGUCUCGUAAUUGGAAUGAGUACAAUUUAAAUCCCUUAACGAGGAACAAUUGGAGGGCAAGUCUGGUGCCAGCAGCCGCGGUAAUUCCAGCUCCAAUAGCGUAUAUUAAAGUUGUUGCAGUUAAAAAGCUCGUAGUUGAACCUUGGGUCUGGCUGGCCGGUCCGCCUCACCGCGAGUACUGGUCCGGCUGGACCUUUCCUUCUGGGGAACCUCAUGGCCUUCACUGGCUGUGGGGGGAACCAGGACUUUUACUGUGAAAAAAUUAGAGUGUUCAAAGCAGGCCUUUGCUCGAAUACAUUAGCAUGGAAUAAUAGAAUAGGACGUGCGGUUCUAUUUUGUUGGUUUCUAGGACCGCCGUAAUGAUUAAUAGGGAUAGUCGGGGGCGUCAGUAUUCAGCUGUCAGAGGUGAAAUUCUUGGAUUUGCUGAAGACUAACUACUGCGAAAGCAUUCGCCAAGGAUGUUUUCAUUAAUCAGGGAACGAAAGUUAGGGGAUCGAAGACGAUCAGAUACCGUCGUAGUCUUAACCAUAAACUAUGCCGACUAGGGAUCGGGCGGUGUUUCUAUAA
This 944-nucleotide ribosomal RNA is filed under the name Aspergillus cristatus. RNAcentral's name for it is "SSU rRNA". It matches the Rfam family "Eukaryotic small subunit ribosomal RNA", at positions 118 to 1071 of the family's 1831-position model. Lineage: Eukaryota; Fungi; Ascomycota; Eurotiomycetes; Eurotiales; Aspergillaceae. The record is from RNAcentral.